CAGCCGCCACGGUAAUACGAAGGGUGCAAGCGUUACUCGGAAUUACUGGGCGCAAAGCGUGCGUAGGUGGUGGUUUAAGUCCGUUGUGAAAGCCCUGGGCUCAACCUGGGAAUUGCAGUGGAUACUGGGUCGCUAGAGUGUGGUGGAGGAUAGUGGAAUUUCCGGUGUAGCAGUGAAAUGUGUAGAGAUCGGAAGGAACAUCUGUGGCGAAGGCGACUAUCUGGGCCAACACUGACACUGAGGCACGAAAGCGUGGGGAGCAAACAGGAUUAGAUACCCCCGUAGUCCCUGUCUCUUAUAC
Molecule: ribosomal RNA, 301 nt
Filed under: uncultured bacterium
Lineage: Bacteria
Description: partial 16S ribosomal RNA
Rfam family: Bacterial small subunit ribosomal RNA
Source: RNAcentral